This is a long non-coding RNA of Centropristis striata (black sea bass), 195 nucleotides long. RefSeq lists it as uncharacterized. The record is from RefSeq and is a predicted model, not a curated record. The transcript is spliced from 2 exons. NCBI's taxonomy places the organism in Eukaryota, Metazoa, Chordata, Actinopteri, Perciformes, Serranidae.
UCUACAUUUUCUGGGUCAAGAAAUUAUUUAUAGCUAUUGAGAAUAUCAUUAGAUGAUUAUUUGAUCAAAUAGAUAUGUUCAUUUUCACCCAGACUGGUAGGUCUUCAAGUGCUGCAGCAGGGAAUCCUGAGCUGAAAAUGUUUGGACUUUCAUCUCAUGUCAGAUCUUGAUCAACACAUUAUUUACAGUGAGUCA